ACAGGUUUCUGAUAAACUGUCACCUUGGCCCAGUGGCCCAGCCUUCUCAGUUCAGCCCAGCAUGUUCUCAGGGGCAUCUGCACACAUUCUUUCAACUCCACUCUUUGCUUCCAUGCCUGAGACAGUCCCACUCCAGUUCUUUCCCUUCCUUGUGACUCACCUGAAUGGAAUCACUGCUGCAAGAUCCACUCUCAUUUCACCUCCCGCCCUGAGAACGGAAGCCGGAAGCCGAAGCCGGAAGUGGGAGCCUCACACAGGUAAGGUCAGUCUGCAUUCACAGCCCAACACUGAAUGAUUCUUAAUCACUGCCAUUGUUACUUA
This 321-nucleotide long non-coding RNA is filed under the name Chinchilla lanigera (long-tailed chinchilla). Its description in RNAcentral is "lncRNA (ENSCLAG00000024454.1)". Lineage: Eukaryota; Metazoa; Chordata; Mammalia; Rodentia; Chinchillidae. The record is from RNAcentral.